GCUAAUUCCUCGGUAGUGGAAGCUGAAAGUCCCAGCCUGCUUGGCUGGGAGCAGACGCCGUGAGAUGUCCCCCAGAGAGGAAUGUGAGCUGAGCGGUGCUGUGUCCCUGUGGGCAGCCAUGGCCUCGGCCACCCAAUGUCUCCUGCCUGCACCCUGGCUGCAUCCUGCUCCUUAUCCACAUCCCAGCUGUCGAUGUGAAACAAAGCUGAGAGGUGGGGACAUGAUGGGGGUCAUGCACCGUCCUUUCUAUGCUGCUGCCAUGGACACCGGCUGCAAGGUGUAGCCU
This 286-nucleotide long non-coding RNA is filed under the name Lonchura striata (white-rumped munia). Its description in RNAcentral is "domestica (Bengalese finch) lncRNA (ENSLSDG00000007509.1)". Lineage: Eukaryota; Metazoa; Chordata; Aves; Passeriformes; Estrildidae. The record is from RNAcentral.